UUGACUCUUAAACCCAUUGAACAUAAUGAUCCAACGCCAUUUCCCAAUUGUGAAUUCCCUGUAUUUGAAGCAGAGGAAGAUGAUGUUGAAGGGAUUCCUGACGAGAUUUCCUAACUUCUUGAGCAAGAAAAGAAGAUUACUCAGCUGCAUCUCGAGAAUCAGCAAAACAAUCCAACUAGGGCAUUACAAAUGUAAUCAAAAAAAAGAGGAGGGUGAAAAAUCAAAAGCAAAAUCAAAA
This 238-nucleotide long non-coding RNA is filed under the name Lathyrus oleraceus (garden pea). RNAcentral's name for it is "Pisum sativum (pea) long non-coding RNA (PSAT_LNC011444)". Lineage: Eukaryota; Viridiplantae; Streptophyta; Magnoliopsida; Fabales; Fabaceae. The record is from RNAcentral.